This 301-nucleotide ribosomal RNA is filed under the name uncultured bacterium. RNAcentral describes it as "partial 16S ribosomal RNA". It matches the Rfam family "Bacterial small subunit ribosomal RNA", at positions 509 to 807 of the family's 1533-position model. The record is from RNAcentral.
CAGUCGCCGCGGGAAUACGAAGGGGGCUAGCGUUGUUCGGAUUUACUGGGCGUAAAGCGCACGUAGGCGGAUCGAUCAGUCAGGGGUGAAAUCCUGGAGCUCAACUCCAGAACUGCCUUCGAUACUGGCGAUCUUGAGUCCGGAAGAGGUGAGUGGAACUCCUAGUGUAGAGGUGGAAUUCGUAGAUAUUAGGAAGAACACCAGUGGCGAAGGCGGCUCACUGGUCCGGUACUGACGCUGAGGUGCGAAAGCGUGGGGAGCAAACAGGAUUAGAUACCCCCGUAGUCCCUGUCUCUUAUAC